GCUGGAAUCAUGGCUCAGUGGCACAGCAUCUGUUUUGAAUACAGAAGGUCCAAGUUCAGUCCUCAGCAGCU
Molecule: transfer RNA, 71 nt
Filed under: Sphaerodactylus townsendi
Lineage: Eukaryota; Metazoa; Chordata; Lepidosauria; Squamata; Sphaerodactylidae
Description: tRNA-Ser
Source: RNAcentral